This 2807-nucleotide unclassified non-coding RNA is filed under the name Leishmania donovani. Its description in RNAcentral is "gene:LdHU3.20.0530(CDS-product:NUDIX_domain_conta ining_protein_putative)". Lineage: Eukaryota; Euglenozoa; Kinetoplastea; Trypanosomatida; Trypanosomatidae. The record is from RNAcentral.
CCCCUUCGACCAUACCCCAUCCCCACACCGCAUCUAUGAACGCGAAGCUAAAGGCUGCCGUUCCACGGCUGGCCUCCACCGUUCUCCUCCUCGCUCGAAACCCCAAGCACGCCACAUCGGAGCAGCGGCCAGCCACCGGAGACAAUGCUGCAAGGGAGAACGACAUUCACGUGCUCAUUAUGAAGCGGCACGGAAAGGCACGCUUCAUGCCGGGUGCGUACGUGUUUCCUGGCGGCGGUAUCGAGGGUAGCGAUUACGCCGCGGCGACGCACUACCUCGCGGAGCACUACAACCUGCAUCUUCAAGAUGCUAGAGACAAGAAGGUGACGACGCAGGGCUUCAUCGAGUCGCGCGGGCAGCCGUCUGCAGAAGAGGCCGAGCUGGAGGCGUGGGCCUGCCGCGUCGGGGCACUGCGCGAGCUCGCCGAAGAGGCCGCAUGUGUUUUGCGAAGAGAUGGCCGCAUCUUUUCCGAGGCCGAGUGGAUCAAGUGGCAGAAGUCACGCAGCGACGUGGGUGCCACCGGUGGCGCCUCCGCCGACCCCGUCUCGUCCCGUCCCGCAACGCCGCUUCCCAUCUACGACCUUUCUGCCGUCUCGAGCCUCCGUCCCGUUGCGCGGUGGGUGUCGCCACGGCAGUCAACGUACCGCUACGAUACCUACUUCUAUGCCGCUCUGGUGAACUCAGCGCUAGUCAGCGCAGAGGCACACGAAGCGGCGCACGCGCCAUGCUCCACUCAGGCGUCGAGUGGUGACGAGGCGAAUGCUGGCGUGGGGGUUUGCUGCAUCCCACCACAGGAGCUGCCGCUCCUCGAGCAGGCCAGCGAGGUGUCGGAAUUGCUCUGGGUAAGUCCGCUGGAAGCGCUGCGACGGCACGAGGACCCCAGCGACGCCUUUUCACUCGCGCCGCCGACGUACCUGCUUUUGCAUGCUCUGUCUCUGCAGCCCAGCUUUGCGUCGAUGGCGGCGGCCUGGGCGGCAGCGCCAGCCUCCCCCGCAGAGCCUGCAGCAAAACCGUUAGGCGAUCUGCCGCACAGCAGCGUACUGCCCUGCGUGGAACCGCUUAGCACCAUGACGGAGAAUGGGCGGCGCAUCAUGGAGUUUGUGCUGCCAGCGCGCUACUUCCAUGAGACGGGCUGGUCGGUGGCGGAUGGCGAGUACCUCUUCCCUGGCGAGUGCUGCGCCGGGCACAGGCACUUUAUUCACAUGUUCGUUGGUGACGCUGGUGCGACAACAGGAGACGGCGCCACGGCGGGCAAGCCAUGCACCAUCCUGCACUAAAGAGGCGCAGGUUUUUUUUUUCUGGGUGAGGGGGAGGGUGAUGAUUCGACGUGGAGGAAAGCGUGUGCGUGUGUACGAGCGAGAGGGGGACGGGCUGCGAGCGUAGCAGACAUGAUCACUGGCAAGCGAGUGAGUCUUUCAGUGCUCUUCUUCCUUUUGGGGUGUGUCUUUGCUCACCUUUGCCCAGCACCAGCGUGAAGGCUGCACGCGCACAUCGGCAGGUGCUCAUGCGUGCCUUGGGGCAAGCGGAAGGAAGAGUACGAGCGAGCAGUCGAAAAGUUUGGCUCUCUGCCGCCUCCGUCCGGCCGUGACGUGAGAGUGCGAAGGUGUGGGUGGGGGCUGUAGAGGAGGUUUGCCGUGGCGUAUGCGGGUGCCCAUCGGCAUAUCGUGUUCCUCGCCCUCCCGCUUCUACGACCUCCCUGCUCUCCGUGACGCCCUCUUCUUGCACGCCCACCCUCCUCGUCGGUCAGUGCGACACCUGCCGAGCUCACGCUUCAUCUCCCCUUUUCUAUUUUGUGUGCUCGCCAGUCGGACGGCCUGCUUCCCUCUCGCUCAUCUGACAUCUUUGAGUGCGUGUCGCCACCCUCUGCGCCUGGCGCGAUCACAGCGGUAUCUUGUGGCUCGUUGCUCUCGCAUUCCGUGCCACGCCCCUCCCCCUUCUCUUCCUCGUUGCCGACUCGCUUCGUGCACCGAUCACGCUCUUCUCAUUGUUGCUUCCGUCUUGUUUGGUUCUCAGCUGCGUCCUAAACCGGUGCGUGUGUCUCCGUCUGUGCUUGCCAGCGGGUGUGUACAGGCGGCAGACACACACGGGUACGUGCCAGAUCGGUGCUUGGGUGCUCUUUACACGGCUCCCGCCUCGCGUUGGUCGUCCUCUCCCUUCAUCAUGCCGUUUUGCUUCAUGCCUGCUUGUACAUGUUGCGUGCCUUGGCGCUCCCUAUUCAUGGGUGUGCAUUUCCCUCCGCUCCUUCUCCACUACGACCCCCACACCCUCUCUCUCGCACAGCCACUCCUGGCGCGACGAUAUGCUGCCCAGGUGACGGGCCGUACUGUUGCGAACCAAGGGAGUGGAUGAGUAGAGUGCACCCAAGCCUGGGCAGCGAGACAAGGUUUGUAGCCAUGUCGGCAGACAGUCACACACACGCACACACAACAACACACUCUCUCACGCAGACAAGCACAAGCGCUCGCCAGCAUGUAAAGCUAUCGAGGAUCAGUUCGCCGACACACCCGCCUCUACCGCUUCAUCUCCCUUCGCAUGCCCUCCCGCCCCCUUUCUCCUCCUCUCGCCAGCUCGACUUCUUCGUAGGGUGCUCAUGUGCAUCCUGCGCCUCUGCAACACGAGCGAGGAGAGCGGAAGGACGUCAUAUGCGGACACAUACACACACAGUGUCGAUCUCCUGCACCGGCAACAGCGAACAGGUCCACAGAACGGUAAGAGGGGGAACAGCCGGAGCUGCGGCGGCACAUCGUCGUGCCGGCGCGCCGGCCGAGGAGGGAGCCCGAAUACAAGAGAGGGACUCGCUCCAUGAG